Molecule: ribosomal RNA, 443 nt
Filed under: uncultured bacterium
Lineage: Bacteria
Description: partial 16S ribosomal RNA
Rfam family: Bacterial small subunit ribosomal RNA
Source: RNAcentral
CCUACGGGAGACAGCAGUGGGGAAUAUUGGGCAAUGGGCGCAAGCCUGACCCAGCAACGCCGCGUGAAGGAAGAAGGCUUUCGGGUUGUAAACUUCUUUUCUCAGGGACGAAGAAAGUGACGGUACCUGAGGAAUAAGCCACGGCUAACUACGUGCCAGCAGCCGCGGUAAUACGUAGGUGGCAAGCGUUAUCCGGAUUUACUGGGUGUAAAGGGCGUGUAGGCGGGAAAGCAAGUCAGAUGUGAAAACCAUGGGCUCAACCUGUGGCCUGCAUUUGAAACUGUUUUUCUUGAGUACUGGAGAGGCAGACGGAAUUCCUCGUGUAGCGGUGAAAUGCGUAGAGAUGAGGAGGAACACCAGUGGCGAAGGCGGUCUGCUGGACAGCAACUGACGCUGAGGCGCGAAAGCGUGGGGAGCAAACAGGAUUAGAUACCCUUGUAGUC